RNAcentral lists this ribosomal RNA (25 nucleotides) under Candidatus Synechococcus spongiarum. Its description in RNAcentral is "partial 23S ribosomal RNA". Lineage: Bacteria; Bacillati; Cyanobacteriota; Cyanophyceae; Synechococcales; Synechococcaceae. The record is from RNAcentral.
UGUCAAGCUGCAAAGGGCUCACGGU